Musa acuminata subsp. malaccensis (wild Malaysian banana) is the source of this 603-nucleotide non-coding RNA. The record is from RefSeq and is a predicted model, not a curated record. NCBI's taxonomy places the organism in Eukaryota, Viridiplantae, Streptophyta, Magnoliopsida, Zingiberales, Musaceae.
AAAGGGCCGCUUUCUUGCGUCUUCUUUUAGGGGACAGAGAAGGCCGGGAAGAAGAACCCGCGGGAUUCCGCUUACAGCGUCCGCCUUCUUCCUCUGAGGAGAACUGCCCGAAGAACUUAUAACAGUAUAUGCGACUAUGCUGAGUGGUCUACAUUGGAAGUGCAACCCGUGAAGGGAGCUACGGGUCCAUCACAGUACGGAGCCACCAAUAUACAUAGUCUGGUAGGUUAUACGUCAAGCAUGUUCCUUUAUAAUAUUUUAUCAUACUACUUAUUUGAUACAUGCAUGAAUGAAUGGAUAAUGUGAAUGAAUAAUCAUAGUUGAAUAUGUAUCCCUGCCGAGCAGUUACGGCGAUUCCCUUUGGGGAUUAACAGGCCGUCAGACAUGAUAGUUAGACGAUUCUUUCAUCCAUUGUUGGGAGGAACGUAUCCCCAUUUUGGCGGGUGAGGGAUACCACUCCAUCUGUUGUUGGGAGUAUGAUAUGGAUUCUCUCCUUCCGUUGUUAAGAGAGUGCACCAUCGAAUGUGAUGUACAUCUUUGUUUUCUGAUUGUUAUGUAUGUCAUCGAGAUGUGUUGCAUGUGAUUAAUGCAUGAUUUUGUUUA